Vicia villosa (hairy vetch) is the source of this 1168-nucleotide long non-coding RNA. RefSeq lists it as uncharacterized. The record is from RefSeq and is a predicted model, not a curated record. Lineage: Eukaryota; Viridiplantae; Streptophyta; Magnoliopsida; Fabales; Fabaceae. The transcript has 8 exons.
GAUUGAUUGGUUCUUUGUAGUAUUUUGAUUUUCUUUAUGCUUUGAAUUUCAGGUGGCGAUUCGUUUCGAUUUGGGUUUCUCUUAUUAAGCUAAUUGUUCAUAAACGCUAGAGAGUCAGAGAGGAAUUUACUCGAACGAUUUACGGUUAAUCUGCGGCGUCGGAUCAGGCAACACAAUGGUGAAAUUGGGAGUGGAGCUUGGAGAACUAAGAGCAAGCGUCCUUGGGAGAUGGUUUUAUGUAUGUAUGGGUUCCCAACGAAUGUGGCUGCUCUUCAUGUUUUAAUAGAAUUCUGCUUUCUAUGUAUUAUGAGGUUGAAUGGGCUUGGCAACACCCUAUUGAAUCAUUGGCUGUAACAAAGCAUGCUGCGAACAGUGUGAACAGAAAGUAGCAGCUGGUACCAUGUAGUUGAUUAUGCCAAUUGCAACAUAAAACAGGUUCAUGUGGUUGUUGUGGCUACUCCAGGACGUAUGAUAAACCAUUUACCCAAUUCUAUGUCGGUGAAUUUGGAUGAUCUUGCUGUUUUGAUCCUUUAUGAAGCUGAUUGUCUAUUGCAGCUUGGAUUUGAUGCUGAAAUUAAAGAACUUGUUCGCGUAUGUCCCAGAAAAAAGCAGACCAUGCUUUUUUCGGCAACCAUGCCCGAUGAGGUUGCAGAUCUCAUUAAACUUUCCCUACCAAAACCAUUGUGUCUUUGUGUUGAUCCAUCUGCAAAACGGCCAGCAGCCUUGGCUGAAGAGUUAGUGCAGUGAAAUGUUGAAGGAUUCAAGUUGAUGGUGAAAUGGUGCCGGUUUUGUAUGUGGUUAAAUCAUCUCAAAAGAUAAGCCAUUUUUUUACACAGGUAUGAACCACCUGUGAUGGCGUGUGAGGUUCCUAUUCUUCUAAAAGAAGCAGAUGUGCUAACUUUUUGUAAGAAAAACUGAAGCCAUUAUAGUCAUUCAAAUGAACUUAGGAUUCAUUAGAGUCUGGCGUGUUAGGAUUCAUAAGAGUAUGAUGAACUGGAUUAUGUCAUUGGACCUGCUGCAGGUGGUUCAAUCUUGCAGUCGAGGGCAUAUGUUGGGCGAAGGAUGGGCCAUGUACAACUUGAUGGUGAGUGAUCAUGGUAUCAAUCCAACACUUCAACAUUACACAUGCAUGGUUGAUCUUCUUGGUCACUGGUGAACUGGAUGAGGC